CAGUAGCCGCGGUAAUGCGUAGGUCCCGAGCGUUGUCCGGAUUUAUUGGGCGUAAAGCGAGCGCAGGCGGUUAGAUAAGUCUGAAGUUAAAGGCUGUGGCUUAACCAUAGUACGCUUUGGAAACUGUUUAACUUGAGUGCAAGAGGGGAGAGUGGAAUUCCAUGUGUAGCGGUGAAAUGCGUAGAUAUAUGGAGGAACACCGGUGGCGAAAGCGGCUCUCUGGUCUGUAACUGACGCUGAGGCUCGAAAGCGUGGGGAGCGAACAGGAUUAGAUACCCCUGUAGUCCCUGUCUCUUAUACA
RNAcentral lists this ribosomal RNA (301 nucleotides) under uncultured bacterium. RNAcentral's name for it is "partial 16S ribosomal RNA". It matches the Rfam family "Bacterial small subunit ribosomal RNA", at positions 509 to 808 of the family's 1533-position model. The record is from RNAcentral.